Thunnus maccoyii (southern bluefin tuna) is the source of this 1776-nucleotide long non-coding RNA. RefSeq lists it as uncharacterized. Lineage: Eukaryota; Metazoa; Chordata; Actinopteri; Scombriformes; Scombridae. The record is from RefSeq and is a predicted model, not a curated record. The transcript is spliced from 2 exons.
UAGGAAUGAACGGGGCCCCGUCUCCGACGCUGUAUCCAGUUCUCCUUAUACAUCCAUGGAGAUCACUCGUAUCUGCUCUGCUUAUGCGCAGAUCAAUAUUAAAUGAGCAUCGGCUAGAGCAGGACGCUAACUUUGACUCUCUCCCUUAUUAAUCUACAGACUAUGUUUUUAUUGGCUACACAGUGCACCCUUGCCUGUGUCACCUUUGCUGCUGGUCUAGGUCCAGGUCCAAGUCUGGCACCGGUAACACAAGCAAACACUGUUUUGGACGAUGAGGAACUAAGUGCUCAAGCUUGAUGCAGCCACAUAAAUUACAGGUAACACAGUCACUGCUGUUAUGUAUUCAGAGUUGGCAAAGUCCAAUAUAAUAAUCUGUCAGAAAACAAAUGUUUACCAAAGCACUGCGGAGUUGUAAGUCCAUUCCCUCCACACCGGGCAGCCGGUCGAUACUGCAGCAGCCUCCUCAGCUGUGGCACAUAUAUCGGCUGCCACUGUAACGUAGCUCCAGUGGUCACUUCCUCCUUCAUGCUCUCUUAUGUCUGAUUCUACAGUGUGAUAUUCGGCCUUGUAAGUUGUAAUAGUAGCGUCACAUCUCUGGUUAUAUUGUGAAGCUUGGUGUUAGCUUGUGUUAGAAUCAUGGAGAAACUCAUCAGCUCAUUAGCAUUAUCUCUGUUGUGUUUGAUUCAACAGCGUGAUAGUCAAUGUCAUGUCAUGAAACUAGUUUUCUUCCAAAUGUGCUGAUAUUUUAAAGUAUUUAGUAGUAUGAUGUUUUAGUGUCUGCUUUUCCCCGUCGCUGGUGUAACAUGGUAGAUGGAGUCUUUUGGGAGACUCACAUUUUACCGCCUUUGAAGGCACCACUACAGAAAAUGCAGAAACGUAGUUAGUAGUCUAAAGCAGAUCUCCAAAGAAACUCUUGUCGGCAAAUGAGCAGUGAGCUCUGGGUGCAGGCAAUAUGGAGGGAAGUUAAACAUUGUUUAUUUAUUUGCAUACACUAACCACAUUGUAAUUUUACAAUGCUAAUUGAAAAUCAACAAAGUUUCCCUUUAAUUGACAGCUUGGACCUGUGAAAAUCUCCAACUAUCCUUCUGUUUAUCUACACAGCCAGGUUUAUUUUUAUGUAACUAUGGAAAUCAUUUUUAUAAUACCAUUGCAUAAAUACUACACUCAAAGCAUUUACAGCAUUUAAAUGCCAUUUGCUCUGCAUAUUUUUAAAAACGUCCAAUAAAAAAUAUGAAAUGUGAACAUGAACUCCGUCCGUAUACACUUUAUACGCAAUAAAAUCCUUUAUUAUUUAUCAUGAAGAAAAAAAGUCCUUAAACAGUUCGUAUAUCACAGAACAAAUGGCUAGUUGGAUCUAACGGCUGAUGUAUCCGGAACUCCCCUGUUGUCACACAGUAAUUCACACACACAGCUUUUGUAACACUUCUUGCAUGUAGGUUAAUUUUAGUGAAUUGGAAAAGCCCACACCCCCUCACUCACAUUGUUGAGGGAAGUGAUGCACCGUCAAUUGGAGAAGCUCAGAUAUGUGUUCCUGAAAAAUGACAUCAAAAUAUGGCAGCCCUCCCUCAGUUAUGCUAACAGUAUAGAAACCCUGUCCACGCCAAUAUAACAUGUAUUAUUAUACGUUCAUCACAAUAAUGUACAUUUGAUUUCUGUAGCAAUUGUACUGUCUUGUCAUUUUUAUUGAUCCUCAACUUGUAUCUGCCUCUGUUUGUGUAUUAUGUUGCAUUUAUGGUAUUAGUAUGUAAACCAAUAAACAGAGCUUGACACAUUUUA